RNAcentral lists this ribosomal RNA (2088 nucleotides) under Triticum aestivum (bread wheat). RNAcentral describes it as "partial small subunit ribosomal RNA". Lineage: Eukaryota; Viridiplantae; Streptophyta; Magnoliopsida; Poales; Poaceae. The record is from RNAcentral.
AUGGACCCCUCGCCGGCCCAGGCGGCCGCGGCGGAGCGCGACCGCUCGCCGCCGCCGCCCCCUCCUCCGCCCCCGUCCUCCUCCGCGUCGCCUCUCGCCGUCGUCUGCAGCUUCUGGAAAGACUUUGAUUUGGAGAAAGAAAGAAGUGGUUUGGAUGAGCAGGGUUUAAAGAUUGCGGAGAAUCAAGAGACGAGCCAGAAGAACCGACGUAGACUUGCUGAGAAUACUCGGGACUUCAAGAAGGCAUCUCCAGAUGACAAGCUUAGUUUGUUCAACUCAUUGCUUAAGAGUUACCAGGAGGAAGUUGACAAUCUCACAAAGAGAGCAAAGUUUGGAGAAAAUGCAUUUCUCAACAUCUAUCAGAAGCUCUAUGAAGCCCCUGAUCCAUAUCCAGCUCUUGCUUCUAUGGCUGAUCAAGACCAGAAACUAUCUGAACUGGAGACUGAAAACCGGAAGAUGAAACUUGAGCUUGAAGAAUACCGGGCGGAAUCUGCGCACCUAAAGAACCAACAGGCGACGAUUAGGCGACUUGAGGAGCGAAACCGCCAACUAGAACAACAGAUGGAAGAAAAAGUUAGAGAGAUGGUUGAAAUGAAACAGCGAAGCUUGGCAGAAGAUAGUCAGAAAACUCUCGAAGCCCUGAAAGAUAGGGAACGGGCGUUGCAGGACCAACUAAGGCAAGCUACAGAAAGUGUCAAGAAUAUGCAGAAGUUACAUGAAUCGGCACAAAGCCAAUUGUUUGAGCUUCGUACUCAAUCAGAGGAGGACCGGACAGCAAAGGAAGCUGAAGUGAGCCUUCUGAUGGAUGAAGUUGAACGCGCUCAAUCACGAUUAGUUAGCCUUGAGAGAGAAAAGGGGGAUUUACGGUCUCAGUUGCAGACAACAAAUGAAGACACAAGUAAUAAUAGUGAUUACAUGGACCCAAGUGAUAUACUUGAGAGUUCUUUGAAUGCCAAGGAGAAGAUUAUAUCAGAGUUGAAUGCAGAACUGCGUAACAUUGAAAGUACUUUAUCAAGUGAGAAAGAAAUGCAUGUGAAUGAAGUAAAGAAGUUGACUGCUUUACUCAGUGAGAAGGAAACUGCGAUAACGGAGUUGAAGAAAGAACUUCAAGAAAGACCUACGACUAGACUAGUUGAUGAUCUCAAGAAAAAGGUUCAGAUUUUGCAGGCUGUUGGGUACAACUCAAUUGAAGCUGAAGACUGGGAGCUAGCAACUAAUGGUGAAGAAAUGAGCAAACUGGAAGCUUUGCUUCUUGAUAAGAACCGCAAAAUGGAGCAUGAACUUACACAGUUGAAGGUUAAAAUAUCAGAGAAGUCAAGUCUUCUUGAGGAAGCUGAGAAAAAGAUCGCUGAACUAACUUCAAAGGUUGAAGAGCAGCAAAAAUUGAUUCUGAAACUUGAGGAUGACAUAUUAAAGGGCUGCAGUUCAACUGAUAGGAGGAGUUCUCUUUUGAAUGAUUGGGAUCUUCAAGAAAUAGGCUCAAAUGAAGUAUCGGAGGGUACUGAUCCAAGGAAUUCAUCACCAGACCAAGAUCAAAGUUCCAUGCUCAAGGUCAUCUGCAAUCAGAGGGACCGUUUCCGUACACGACUACGUGAAACCGAAGAGGAACUGAGGAGAUUAAAAGAGAAGUAUGAAAUGCUAGCUGUAGAAUUGGAAAAAACAAAAGCUGAUAAUGUUCAAUUGUACGGAAAGAUUCGAUACGUCCAGGACUACAGUCAUGAGAAGAUUGUUUCUAGAGGACCAAAGAAGUACGCAGAAGAUAUUGAAAGUGGUUCUUCAGACGUUGAAACAAAGUACAAGAAAAUGUACGAGGAUGACAUAAAUCCUUUUGCAGCUUUCUCGAGGAAGGAAAAGGAUCAAAGAUACAAGGAACUUGGUAUAAGAGAUAAGAUCACUCUCAGUAGUGGCCGUUUUCUCCUCGGUAACAAAUUUGCCCGGACAUUUAUAUUCUUCUACACUAUUGGAUUGCAUCUCCUUGUGUUCACGCUGCUGUACAGAAUGUCAGCUUUGAGCUAUCUGAGCAUAACACCUGCACAUGAUGAGAUCAUCCUGGACGCUGGCAAUCAGACACUAUCGCAUAUGCCCUGA